AACAAGGCGUACCUGCGGACCUGCGGAAGGAUCAUUACCGAGUUUACAACUCCCAAACCCCUGUGAACAUACCACUUGUUGCCUCGGCGGAUCAGCCCGCUCCCGGUAAAACGGGACGGCCCGCCAGAGGACCCCUAAACUCUGUUUCUAUAUGUAACUUCUGAGUAAAACCAUAAAUAAAUCAAAACUUUUAGCAACGGAUCU
RNAcentral lists this unclassified non-coding RNA (204 nucleotides) under soil metagenome. RNAcentral describes it as "partial contains 5.8S ribosomal RNA, internal transcribed spacer 2, and large subunit ribosomal RNA". The record is from RNAcentral.